GGAUUAGAUACCCUGGUAGUCCACGCCGUAAACGAUGUCUACUAGUCGUCGGGGAUCUUGCAUUCCUGGUGACGCAGCUAACGCGAUAAGUAGACCGCCUGGGGAGUACGGCCGCAAGGUUAAAACUCAAAUGAAUUGACGGGGGCCCGCACAAGCGGUGGAGCAUGUGGUUUAAUUCGAAGCAACGCGAAGAACCUUACCUGGCCUUGACAUCCUGCGAACUUACUAGAGAUAGUUUGGUGCCUUCGGGAACGCAGUGACAGGUGCUGCAUGGCUGUCGUCAGCUCGUGCCG
RNAcentral lists this ribosomal RNA (293 nucleotides) under uncultured bacterium. RNAcentral describes it as "partial 16S ribosomal RNA". It matches the Rfam family "Bacterial small subunit ribosomal RNA", at positions 775 to 1067 of the family's 1533-position model. The record is from RNAcentral.